AUAGAAAAACUUCAUCCCUAAAGGGAUGGGGCUAUGGAAGAGUGCUUCUUAGUGGUGAGUAGCACAGCACUCGGUCCAUGCUCAGAGGCUCAUUGUUUGGAUUUGCUGUGUAGGAGGGAUGACUUUCUAGGCAAUGAUAAUGUUUUCUGGAGACUAGCCUCAGAUUUUAUCAUGUUUGUGUUUUGGGCAGGCAAGGCAAUGGAGAAAUGUGGUGAUAUUGCAGAGAUCUUGUCCUUGUUUUAGUAAUGGCUGUUUCUCCCUUUCCAGGAUGCUCAUUGUGACAGGAGAACAACAAACACAAUGGGGCAAUUAUGACUUCCCAAUCAGGAAUGGCCAAAACACAAGAUUUGACCAAUAUUUCAUUCAUUCCAGUUAUAAAAAGAUGCCCAUAGAUCCAUACAGCCAAUUGUAUCCUGUUUUGGUAUUCCCUCUUGGAAAAGUGGCCGUUAUCUACUGUAAUAACACCUUUGAGAUUCAGGAUUCUGUCUUUUUAAUGAAAGAUGGAACAUACACAGGUCAUAAAAGCUACAUCUCUAGAGGCCAUCCGAUACUUUUUGAUUUUCAUGUGAAACAAAACCAUGGAGGGUUGUACCAGUGUUGCUAUGGAUGGGAUUGGUUUUCCUGCAGAAUUAUGGAAGUACUGGAAGUAAUAAUAAGAGAUCCCAGCUUACAUAGACCACAAGUCUCCUUUGGAUCUAUUCCAGUAAGCAUUGGAGAAGACUUUACCGUCCAUUGCAGAGUCCAAGAAAAUGCCAACAAGUUUUAUUUCCAAAAGGAUGGGAAAGAGGUGCCUCACCAAAGGCCAUCCAAGAAUGAGAUAACCAUCCAAAGAGCAACUGAGGAGUAUGUAGGGAAUUACAGCUGCAGCUAUUCCCGUCAGUUUCUCAUGUCUAAACCCAGUGACUCUAUGAUGCUGCUAAUAACAGAUCCUCACCUACCACAGCCAGACAUCUCCAGCAGCUCAAGUGGGCCAGUUGCCCGUGGGGGAGAAAUUGCAAUUCAGUGUGAAAUUAAAAAGCCAACUGUCAUAUUCUAUCUCCAUAUAAAUGAAAAUCCACCAAAAAGAAUAAUCGAAACUGAUGGGAAAAAGUGCAAAUACUACUUUAAGAAUUUCAGCGUAACAGAUCAAGGGUCGUAUAGGUGCAGCUGUGCACUCCCAGAAAAGCCUUUUCUGAUCUCAAACAGAAGCCAUUCCCUGGACCUUUUUCUAUUAGCACUAUUGGAAGAAACACAAGCAAGUGGCGAAAGCUCUUUCAGAGUUUUGAGGGCUCAUCGGGCUACAAAAUCUUCUGGCACUUCAAAAGCUGGAAGAAAACACUUGGAGAAGGAACUUCCAAAAGAUGACCCUGCCACCCAGCAACAAAACAUAGUCUAUGCCGAAUUGAAGAGAUAUACCUCAGACAUGCCCCAGGCAGAAGCUGAAACUGAUGAUGAUGUUGUCUACGCCACAAUUACUGUUCAUUAAUCCACAAAUGUUGGGAGUCCUGAAAGAUCUGUGUGUCUUUUGGAUGGCUUCCUAUCAUAAUGUUGGGAGUGCUGAAGAAGUUUUGGGAUUACGGAUCUUUGGGCUGUAUAGGUUCACCUAGCAAAUGAACUUCAGUUGUUUUCAAUUCUUUUCCUGGCUUUGUGAUAAUAACAUACUCGCAAGUAGGCAUUAAUGAAAUCAAAAUUCAAACCAACUUCAAUUCAGACUUACAUGCCUUGUUAUCCAUUUCAAUAAACUUCUAAUUUUUUCUCAUAAACAGAACUGCAAAUGCUUUGUAUUUAAAGACUAUUUAACCUUGAAUAUGUUUUAAUGGUUUUUACCUGGGAAUUUUUUAAAUACUGUUUAUAUUUAAUCCUGUUUUAAUGUUUGAAUACUUGUAUAUUUUAAACUGUAUGUUGAUGCUUUUACUUUAGGCCACUUUGAGUCUCCUGCAGGAGAGAUAAAGCAGAGUUUAAAUAAGUAAAUAUAAUAAUAAUAAUAAUUCAGAAGUUUUUUUUUUAUCGUGUCAGAAGCAACUUGAGAACAUACUGCAAGUCACUUCUGGUGUGAGAGAAUUGGCCAUCUACAGAGACGUUGCCCAGAAGACUCCCAGAUGUGUUACUGGGAGGCUUCUCUCAUGUCCCCACAAGCUAGAACUUACAGAUGGAAGCUCACCCCAUCUCACAGAUUCAAACUGGCAAGCUUCAGGUGAGCAACACAACCUUCAGGUCAGCAGUUCAGCCGGCACAAGGGUUUAACCCAUUACACCAUCGUGUCUCCUAAGUGAUGUGGUGACAUCACUUACAGAAGUGCACAGAAAUAAGUAGACCUCUUGCUAUUUUAAAUUGAGAUUCGGAAGAAUUCAUAGUGGUCAGGAUCCUGAUCCACAAGUAAGACUCAUGUCUUACAUUAUGACGAUGUUAGAGGAGAUAUAUGAAAUCUGGAAUACAAGUUCAGAUAUUCCAUGUCAUGCUCAUGGAAAUUGCCUAACUAUUAGAUCAAAACAGACUUUGAGUGAAGUAUUGAAAAAGUCAUUCAUCAAGCCUGUAUAUGCGUCAGUCUCUACUGAUUUGCUGAUCCCCAUCAAUCCUAGCAGCUGCUUGCGGGUAAGUGGGGUGUUAGGGACUUUCAUAGGCCCUAUAUAGCGCGUGCGCUCGCUCUCUCUCUCUCUCUCUCUCUCUCUCUCUCUCUCUCUCUCUCUCUCUCUCUCUCUCCCCACACACCAGUGACUGCAUAGGGAUCAUGACAGCAGUGACAAUGCAUAACUGGAGGUUACAUAUUUGUAACUGCCCAGAAGGAUUCCUGACAUGGUUUCUUACAUAACAAAAUAUGCAGGUAAGUUUGAUACACAUAGAGAAAGCUCAUUUCCACCCUAAAGAAGAACACCAGGGUGGAAGUUGCAAAACAGUAGUAUCUCAGUUCCUGCCUUAGGCAAUUCGAAUUUCAGAUUGCGAGAUUAUGGCGAUCGAGCGUGUGUACAUUCAGUGUCAAGCUAUGAUAAAGAAGGAGAACCUAAAAGGAGCACUAGCCCCUGUUUACUUUCCCCAACAUGGAACCACUUCUGGCAGAGACUAGAAAAUUUGAUAAGUAUGUAUCAAACAGGAAUGAAGUUUGCAUUUAAUCAUGUGUCCUUUGACCAAAAUACUUAUUAUGCACAUAUAUGCAAAUGUAGGUGUUCCAAAAUGAAAAAUAAAAAUCUGAAAUACUUCUGGUCCCUGGAUAAGGAACACUCAAACUGUCCAGCACUGUGAACAGCAGUAGAUGAUAGGGAAAAGCUUGAUUCAUUUGUCUAUCUGCUCAGUAGACAGCAAGAUAGGGGAAAAGGAGCCCCAAAGUGAAUGCCCACAUAAGAUGCUGGAGGAUAUGCGUGCAUGUGUUUCUUUUAACACAUAACCACAAUUUCAUUAUCUUUUCCUAUGAAGCCAUCUAAUCUAUAUUUUGUAUUUAUCCCACCCCCAAGCAGUACAGAUCCUCCUUUGCGAAUUCUUACAUUUGAAAUGACUUGAGUUGUCACCUUAGUAAAUUGACUGAUUAUCUAAUCACAGAAUAUCUUUCUAACACAUCAGGGGAGAGCACAUGAGAGGCUUGUAACCAAGACCUGGUUGGUAGAUUGGGCUCUUACCAGUUUCCUAUUAUCUUUGGAUCCAGUUUGGGGACUGAUGGAAUGCAGGACACUCAACAGACACCGCAACUGGAACUAGGCUUAUG
Molecule: long non-coding RNA, 3673 nt
Organism: Anolis carolinensis (green anole)
Lineage: Eukaryota; Metazoa; Chordata; Lepidosauria; Squamata; Anolidae
Source: Ensembl